AGUCUUUAAGCAGCAAGCAUUAUUCAAGAUAUAUUUCAUCAGAUUCCUCUCUUGCUCCGUCGCAAACAUCGCUGUCCAUUUGAAUGUUUCAAGACUCGAUAACAAACAUUUAGGAACACAAUUUAGUUCAUCCUGACAGAAAACCAGUGGAUCAAGCUGGUUCCAUAUAUGAUCCUGAGAUCAAACAUGUGAGCUUAGCUUAAAGAUUAAUUGAAUUAAUUUAAACCAUAUGAAAAUCACUUUAAAGUUAUCAAACUUACUUUUUGCGUAUAGACUUCCAGCUCUCGUAAAUUAGGAGAAUCGUUGAGUAAUCGGAAAAGUACCUUUGACCAAUAUACACCACAAUGACACAACUCCAGAUGUGUAAGCUGAUUGAAGACAAUACCCUCACAAUAUAACGCCUGCACACGACGACAAAGGAUUCAACAUUAAGAAAACAUUGUUUAGUAGUGUUCUAUAAAAUGAUGUUAAUAUGAAAACAUACCUCUUGGGUAUCGACUCCUGUGCAUAAGGAAAGCCGCGUAACGAAUGUGAUUGAUGAAACAAAUUUGUCAAAACCAGGGUAUAUUGAAUCAAUAUACACCUCCUCCAGGUUGGGCAUAGUGUUAGAAUAAAAGGGGUAAUCAUCAACCUCCUCAGUAGCACUCUCAUCAAUAAUUUUGAAAUACUUCAAAGAAGGAGUACUUAACAUAAGCUCACUAAGAGCAUUAGUUCCUAAUAUCUCAAGAGUUAGUCUCUGCAAGGACGGGAC
This 751-nucleotide long non-coding RNA is filed under the name Capsella rubella. RNAcentral describes it as "long non-coding RNA (CRUB_LNC001511)". Lineage: Eukaryota; Viridiplantae; Streptophyta; Magnoliopsida; Brassicales; Brassicaceae. The record is from RNAcentral.